RNAcentral lists this ribosomal RNA (550 nucleotides) under uncultured bacterium. RNAcentral's name for it is "partial 16S ribosomal RNA". It matches the Rfam family "Bacterial small subunit ribosomal RNA", at positions 355 to 898 of the family's 1533-position model. The record is from RNAcentral.
UAGGGAAUCUUCGGCAAUGGACGAAAGUCUGACCGAGCAACGCCGCGUGAGUGAAGAAGGUUUUCGGAUCGUAAAACUCUGUUGGUAGAGAAGAACGUUGGUGAGAGUGGAAAGCUCAUCAAGUGACGGUAACUACCCAGAAAGGGACGGCUAACUACGUGCCAGCAGCCGCGGUAAUACGUAGGUCCCGAGCGUUGUCCGGAUUUAUUGGGCGUAAAGCGAGCGCAGGUGGUUUAUUAAGUCUGGUGUAAAAGGCAGUGGCUCAACCAUUGUAUGCAUUGGAAACUGGUAGACUUGAGUGCAGGAGGGGAGAGUGGAAUUCCAUGUGUAGCGUGAAAUGCGUAGAUAUAUGGAGGAACACCGGUGGCGAAAGCGGCUCUCUGGCCUGUAACUGACACUGAGGCUCGAAAGCGUGGGGAGCAAACAGGAUUAGAUACCCUGGUAGUCCACGCCGUAAACGAUGAGUGCUAGAUGUAGGGAGCUAUAAGUUCUCUGUAUCGCAGCUAACGCAAUAAGCACUCCGCCUGGGGAGUACGACCGCAAGGUUGAA